AGAGUUUGAUCCUGGCUCAGGACGAACGCUGGCGGCGUGCCUAAUACAUGCAAGUUGAGCGAUGAAGAUUGGUGCUUGCACCAAUUUGAAGAGCAGCGAACGGGUGAGUAACGCGUGGGGAAUCUGCCUUUGAGCGGGGGACAACAUUUGGAAACGAAUGCUAAUACCGCAUAACAACUUUAAACAUAAGUUUUAAGUUUGAAAGAUGCAAUUGCAUCACUCAAAGAUGAUCCCGCGUUGUAUUAGCUAGUUGGUGAGGUAAAGGCUCACCAAGGCGAUGAUACAUAGCCGACCUGAGAGGGUGAUCGGCCACAUUGGGACUGAGACACGGCCCAAACUCCUACGGGAGGCAGCAGUAGGGAAUCUUCGGCAAUGGACGAAAGUCUGACCGAGCAACGCCGCGUGAGUGAAGAAGGUUUUCGGAUCGUAAAACUCUGUUGGUAGAGAAGAACGUUGGUGAGAGUGGAAAGCUCAUCAAGUGACGGUAACUACCCAGAAAGGGACGGCUAACUACGUGCCAGCAGCCGCGGUAAUACGUAGGUCCCGAGCGUUGUCCGGAUUUAUUGGGCGUAAAGCGAGCGCAGGUGGUUUAUUAAGUCUGGUGUAAAAGGCAGUGGCUCAACCAUCGUAUGCAUUGGAAACUGGUAGACUUGAGUGCAGGAGAGGAGAGUGGAAUUCCAUGUGUAGCGGUGAAAUGCGUAGAUAUAUGGAGGAACACCGGUGGCGAAAGCGGCUCUCUGGCCUGUAACUGACACUGAGGCUCGAAAGCGUGGGGAGCAAACAGGAUUAGAUACCCUGGUAGUCC
This 805-nucleotide ribosomal RNA is filed under the name uncultured bacterium. RNAcentral describes it as "bacterial SSU rRNA". It matches the Rfam family "Bacterial small subunit ribosomal RNA", at positions 8 to 796 of the family's 1533-position model. The record is from RNAcentral.